Molecule: long non-coding RNA, 331 nt
Filed under: Ananas comosus (pineapple)
Lineage: Eukaryota; Viridiplantae; Streptophyta; Magnoliopsida; Poales; Bromeliaceae
Description: long non-coding RNA (ACOM_LNC044262)
Source: RNAcentral
UUUGUAGCAUACCGAACUUCUAAAGUUAUGAAGUUACGGAGUAUGCUAGGUUAGAGAAGCUAUUGGAAUGGUUCUGGUGAAGUCCGGGAGUAUUCGGGCAUUUUCGGUGCGCGUCGAGCGUGAAAACGGGAUCCGAAAGGCUAUGUUGAACAAUGAGUUAAAUCCGACAUUAGCGUGGUUGAAAAGAUGAUGUAAAUCUCGAAAAUAUGUUUUGAGAGUCUCGGUGUGAUUUGAAAAGAAUCGGAGGCCAUACGAGCGAAAAUGAGCGAAAACGGAGAAGAAACGGAAAGAGGCUGAAAAUUCGGCUAUCCUAAAAGGCUGAUUUUCUGAA